UUUUGCAGAGGAUGCAGAGAAGCUACAAUAACUUGUGCUGAGGGAUGAAUUAAGUGCUCCAGAACGUGCAGGAGGAUGACAUCAAAAGGAGUGAAAAAGGAGAGGGAGUUCACAUCGCAAUCUUAUUCUUAGUAAUCUCUUUCAACUUUCUUUUUGAGCAUUGUUGAUCUUUCCUGAUUCAUCCUUUGCCCUUUUAAUUUCUUGCAAGGUGCGACCAGACCAGCCUUUGGAAUUCUUUGACUGCGGAUGGAUUAUUGCUUUGAGCAGAGGACCAAAUCCAUUGAUAGCAACAUUGAUGAAGAGACAAAUAAAGACGGAAACGAAGCCACGAAGUUCUUAUUCUCUUUAUAUAGUACUGGAUAGCCCUGCUGGUCUCAGUGUUGGAGCAAAUGGUGCUAUCUCAAUAAAUGUGUUGUUGGUUGGUUGUAUCCGAGAAUGGAAGCUUGCAACAUGCCCUUCUUUUUGGCUUUUCAAUUAGUUUCAUGUCAACCUCAGCUCUUGCACUUGAUUGUUGAAUGUGAUGCUCGAUCUCUUCUGAAAGGUGAUGCACCAGUGUCCUCAAAGUCAAACGUCAUGCAAGAAUGGCUAGCUUUGAGUGGAAACGUUAAAGCAAAGACUGGAACAAAUAAUGACUUGGUGCACGUAAUCGAGGAAAGUACCUAAGUGGAAGACAAACUGAAUAAUUAUAAUUAAGAUGGGCACCUUAUUGGAGAACCUUCUCACCAACCCAUUGUAAGUGCGGUUCUCUAUAUUUGCAAAGUGGUUCUCAUUUCUUUAAUGAACGACAUCAUGAUGAUGAAGCUUUUAAGUGGGCACUGCAUGUGUUUAUGAAAGGGAUGAACACAUGCACGAAUCAUUGCGGAAUUGACUUCAGAUAGUACAGGGGGAAGGAAGAAACCGAGCCAAUUAAUUGGAGGAAAAGACGGCAAUGCUGAUGAUGGUGUUCUCAGAAAAAAUGAAUUGGAAAAAGUAAGUCACUAUCUUACCUUUGAUUAUUUUCCUUCAUGGUGCUGCACAACCGCCGACCACUGCCGGCGAUCCGGUGGGGUUGGUCGCGUUUGUUCUGCUUAGAGAGGCACAGAGGUCGACAGCACUAACUGCUGCUGCUUGUUCUUUAUUUGUAUUUUUUAUUUUAAUUAAUGCUAAGUCUCGAGGUUGCCAGUAGGGUUAGAGUUCAUGUAUCUGCCUGUUAGAUCUUGUGUUCGAUCUUAAAUU
Molecule: long non-coding RNA, 1215 nt
Organism: Zingiber officinale
Lineage: Eukaryota; Viridiplantae; Streptophyta; Magnoliopsida; Zingiberales; Zingiberaceae
Exons: 4
Source: RefSeq, a predicted model, not a curated record